AGCUAAGCGGAACCACCUGAUCCCAUUUCGAAUUCAGAAGUGAAACGCUUAAGCGCCGACGAUAGUUGGUUCGCAAGGACCCGCGAAAA
This 89-nucleotide ribosomal RNA is filed under the name Patescibacteria group bacterium. The record is from RNAcentral.